UCUUCCCUGUCCAUGGGUCCUGUCCCCAUGCCUGCAGCUCUUCACUGCCUGUGAAUCCUGACCCUGUGCCUGCAGCACUUCACUGCCCAUGGGUCCUGUCCCCAUGCUAUUCUCUGAAUAAAGGAGCACUACUACCAGACCUUGAGAGUCCAAGAAAUUUUUCUUUCGACUCCUUGACUCACAGAGCCUGCGUCAUUUCUUCUGGUGGCCUGUACGGGGAUCUUGCUUCAUUGACUUGUGAGCUGAAGUUCUGAGAAAUUCGUGGAAAGGAUUCUGACACAGGAUUCUAGAAUACAGCUUUCUGAUAAACUUUCACAUGGUAGAACCGAAUUGGGUAAGAAAUUAUGGAAUUCUAACAGAGAAACUUGGCCUCAUAAACCUGCCUAACAGAAGACUAAGAUCAAGAAUUGAUUAUACAGGACUGUAUGAACUGCAAUUUCGUGAAAUUAUACCUUUGUGAGCAGAACUGAAA
This is a non-coding RNA of Equus caballus (horse), 472 nucleotides long. Lineage: Eukaryota; Metazoa; Chordata; Mammalia; Perissodactyla; Equidae. The record is from RefSeq and is a predicted model, not a curated record.